UGGGCUGUAGCUUAAUUAUAAGCAUUCCGUUUACGUUGGAAAGAUCACUUGAUUUAGUGUAGUUCAA
This 67-nucleotide transfer RNA is filed under the name Caridina sp. FB-6. RNAcentral's name for it is "tRNA-Val". Lineage: Eukaryota; Metazoa; Arthropoda; Malacostraca; Decapoda; Atyidae. RNAcentral also lists the same sequence under 5 other names. The record is from RNAcentral.